Cyprinus carpio (common carp) is the source of this 1253-nucleotide long non-coding RNA. NCBI's taxonomy places the organism in Eukaryota, Metazoa, Chordata, Actinopteri, Cypriniformes, Cyprinidae. The record is from Ensembl.
AUGCAGAAAAAAACAAAUAUUGAUUCAAGCAUUUUACAAUUUUUAAACCCACUAAAUAGGCCUUUUAUGGUAUACAGUGUCAAACCCUCACAAUAUACAAUCGAGAGAAAUCUGUGUCUUUUCCUUGGUAUACAGCAGACAUUAUGUAUAGUAGCCAACCUGUAUCGUGCAACACUACACAAAUUCUUUUCAGUAGCACAUCUCACAUAUAGGAAUCAGAAAGCCACUAGAGAAAGCCUAUUCCUCACCAUUUUCACCAUCAUUCGAAGGCAACGCUGUUACUGAUUGCUCUGUAUAUGUGCAGCAGCCAUGUCAUCAGCACACACGAAUAGUCUGCCAACUCCCACAGGGUGCUUUAUGCUGAAUACACAUGUAAGUAACACACUUUAAUCCUUGAGCAUAGUCAAAAAGGUAGAGAUGGAUAAAGCACAGCCAGAGAUGGAGGCCAAUGAAGAGGGAAGGAUUUAGGAGGCAGACAGAAAACAAAAUUGAGCGAGAGAGAGCAGAUGUCUACAGUCCCAAGAGUCCCAUUGUUUCAGCCUAAUCUAUCCAGUGGACGACGUGUUUGACUUUCUCCAUCCAUCUCUGCCUCCCACAGCUACCAAUGCAAAUCUGAAGUAGUGAGAUACUGUAGGACCCUUUCACAAGCACAAAAAUCAUUGAGAUGCAUUUCUCUGUCUCUUUACAUGUUCAUUCUAUCCUUUCUCUAAACCUCUGUUGCCCACUCUAGAUCUGCCUUUCUAUUCCAGUACACACAGUGCUGGCAAACCUUUAUCACCACAAAAUCCCACAUUCCAAAGCAUCUUUCAUAUUCCAUUUUACCCGGACAUAGGCAACAAUGAAUGACAAAGAAAGCCCUUAGAAUAACACUAACACAUACUGCUUAUUUUUGUGCAGCUUAGAAUCCAAUCAGGAACCAAGAUACUUAAUCUGCAUCAAAUCAGUGUCGUCAUUUCAACCUAUCAUUAUCCAACUAAUCUAAAAUAGUCUCUGAAACUUGAUACAGCAUCAUCUGCAUUUAACAAUCUAAAAAAAAAAAAAAAAGUCAACAAAAAGAGUUUUGAACAGCAUUUGUUUCAAAUAAUCGUUUCUAUGGGCUAUACAACAGCUUCUGAUGCAUAAGAGGCAAGGUCUAGAUUUGCAAGUUAUUCCUUGCCUUUUUCUCUCUUUCUGCUUUUGUUGUUUUUGACUGUAGAACAACAAGACUCACCAGUUAAAAUAAAAAAAAAAUAAAAAAAAGUACCUGAGAAUGA